CGCACACACACACACACACACACACACACACACACACACACACACACACACANNNNNNNNNNUUUCUAUUCAAGCCACCUCAGAGUUAAACAAUAUUUUCUGUUAGUGAAACUGUAGCUUUUGGAAUAGAUGUAGGCUUCGUGCUACAUGCUAGCUCCUUCAUUCGUCAUGCCUAGCUCCUUCCUUCGAAGGAAGGAGCUAGGCAUGACGGCUCAUGUCUGCAGUUCUAACAGGAGGAGGCUGAGGCAGAAUGGUUGCAAUUUUGAGGCCAGCCUGAACUACACAGUGAGACUUUAUCUCAAGGAAAGGAAAGGAGGAGAAAACUAAAAGAUGGAAGACGUGGAGGAAGAGGAGGAGAAGGAGGAGAGCACCCCAGGAAGGCCUGGACCGUUCGUAGGACAAAGAUGGAGCUGGUCACCAGGACUGUUGGCAUGUGAUGACAUGAAGAAUAAAGAGGAAAACUCAUUGUUCACUCAUUUUCCAUUGCCAAGAUAUAUUAAUAUGCCAAGACAAUUGCCCAUAGGCAAUUUCAUCUGCAGUUGAGCUACUUGA
Molecule: long non-coding RNA, 552 nt
Filed under: Mus spicilegus (steppe mouse)
Lineage: Eukaryota; Metazoa; Chordata; Mammalia; Rodentia; Muridae
Description: lncRNA (ENSMSIG00000022734.1)
Source: RNAcentral